RNAcentral lists this ribosomal RNA (1489 nucleotides) under Lactiplantibacillus plantarum. RNAcentral's name for it is "bacterial SSU rRNA". It matches the Rfam family "Bacterial small subunit ribosomal RNA". Lineage: Bacteria; Bacillati; Bacillota; Bacilli; Lactobacillales; Lactobacillaceae. The record is from RNAcentral.
GACGAACGCUGGCGGCGUGCCUAAUACAUGCAAGUCGAACGAACUCUGGUAUUGAUUGGUGCUUGCAUCAUGAUUUACAUUUGAGUGAGUGGCAAACUGGUGAGUAACACGUGGGAAACCUGCCCAGAAGCGGGGGAUAACACCUGGAAACAGAUGCUAAUACCGCAUAACAACUUGGACCGCAUGGUCCGAGCUUGAAAGAUGGCUUCGGCUAUCACUUUUGGAUGGUCCCGCGGCGUAUUAGCUAGAUGGUGGGGUAACGGCUCACCAUGGCAAUGAUACGUAGCCGACCUGAGAGGGUAAUCGGCCACAUUGGGACUGAGACACGGCCCAAACUCCUACGGGAGGCAGCAGUAGGGAAUCUUCCACAAUGGACGAAAGUCUGAUGGAGCAACGCCGCGUGAGUGAAGAAGGGUUUCGGCUCGUAAAACUCUGUUGUUAAAGAAGAACAUAUCUGAGAGUAACUGUUCAGGUAUUGACGGUAUUUAACCAGAAAGCCACGGCUAACUACGUGCCAGCAGCCGCGGUAAUACGUAGGUGGCAAGCGUUGUCCGGAUUUAUUGGGCGUAAAGCGAGCGCAGGCGGUUUUUUAAGUCUGAUGUGAAAGCCUUCGGCUCAACCGAAGAAGUGCAUCGGAAACUGGGAAACUUGAGUGCAGAAGAGGACAGUGGAACUCCAUGUGUAGCGGUGAAAUGCGUAGAUAUAUGGAAGAACACCAGUGGCGAAGGCGGCUGUCUGGUCUGUAACUGACGCUGAGGCUCGAAAGUAUGGGUAGCAAACAGGAUUAGAUACCCUGGUAGUCCAUACCGUAAACGAUGAAUGCUAAGUGUUGGAGGGUUUCCGCCCUUCAGUGCUGCAGCUAACGCAUUAAGCAUUCCGCCUGGGGAGUACGGCCGCAAGGCUGAAACUCAAAGGAAUUGACGGGGGCCCGCACAAGCGGUGGAGCAUGUGGUUUAAUUCGAAGCUACGCGAAGAACCUUACCAGGUCUUGACAUACUAUGCAAAUCUAAGAGAUUAGACGUUCCCUUCGGGGACAUGGAUACAGGUGGUGCAUGGUUGUCGUCAGCUCGUGUCGUGAGAUGUUGGGUUAAGUCCCGCAACGAGCGCAACCCUUAUUAUCAGUUGCCAGCAUUAAGUUGGGCACUCUGGUGAGACUGCCGGUGACAAACCGGAGGAAGGUGGGGAUGACGUCAAAUCAUCAUGCCCCUUAUGACCUGGGCUACACACGUGCUACAAUGGAUGGUACAACGAGUUGCGAACUCGCGAGAGUAAGCUAAUCUCUUAAAGCCAUUCUCAGUUCGGAUUGUAGGCUGCAACUCGCCUACAUGAAGUCGGAAUCGCUAGUAAUCGCGGAUCAGCAUGCCGCGGUGAAUACGUUCCCGGGCCUUGUACACACCGCCCGUCACACCAUGAGAGUUUGUAACACCCAAAGUCGGUGGGGUAACCUUUUAGGAACCAGCCGCCUAAGGUGGGACAGAUGAUUAGGGUG